This is a non-coding RNA of Dipodomys ordii (Ord's kangaroo rat), 65 nucleotides long. NCBI's taxonomy places the organism in Eukaryota, Metazoa, Chordata, Mammalia, Rodentia, Heteromyidae. The record is from Rfam.
GGUGGCUCAGUGGUAGAGUGCUUGCCUUGCAUGCAUGAGGUACUGGGUUCGAUUCCUCAGCACCA